RNAcentral lists this long non-coding RNA (452 nucleotides) under Mus spicilegus (steppe mouse). RNAcentral's name for it is "lncRNA (ENSMSIG00000031342.1)". The record is from RNAcentral. Lineage: Eukaryota; Metazoa; Chordata; Mammalia; Rodentia; Muridae.
CUUUCCUGACACAGUCAUGAUCUAAGAGACACAGCUUUCUUUCUACAGAGUGUUUAAGCAUGCCUGAUUUGUAUUCUCCAAUUAAAUUGUAGCCACAAACCUCCACAUGAGCUCUGGGCAGAUCAAGCUGUGACAGAGACGCUUUCUGCCAAGAAAACAUAGGCCUACGUUUCCAAAUCUUGGUGUUCUGGUUUUGUGACACCAACUGGUUAUUCGACCUCAAUCAAGUUUCUUGCUAUCCUAAGCCUCAGUCGCUGGUACACUCACCACUGUGAUGCCCAGGGAAGAUGACUUGGAAACCCAAGGACUUCCAUAAGAUCGUCCAACUUCUGACAAAAUGGCUUUUUGUGAGGACAGGAAACAUGUAAAGACCUCUCUUCCCUUUAAGAAAAAGAAAGGAAGAUGGAAAAAGUCAUCAGCUCAUGUACAGAGAAGCUGGCAAGUGAAUGCAA